GGGUUGUGAGGUUAAGCGACUAAGCGUACACGGUGGAUGCCCUGGCAGUCAGAGGCGAUGAAGGACGUGCUAAUCUGCGAUAAGCGCCGGUAAGGUGAUAUGAACCGUUAUAACCGGCGAUUUCCGAAUGGGGAAACCCAGUGUGAUUCGUCACACUAUCAUUAACUGAAUCCAUAGGUUAAUGAGGCGAACCGGGGGAACUGAAACAUCUAAGUACCCCGAGGAAAAGAAAUCAACCGAGAUUCCCCCAGUAGCGGCGAGCGAACGGGGAGGAGCCCAGAGCCUGAAUCAGCAUGUGUGUUAGUGGAAGCGUCUGGAAAGGCGCGCGAUACAGGGUGACAGCCCCGUACACAAAAGCGCAUGUGCUGUGAGCUCGAUGAGUAGGGCGGGACACGUGGUAUCCUGUCUGAAUAUGGGGGGACCAUCCUCCAAGGCUAAAUACUCCUGACUGACCGAUAGUGAACCAGUACCGUGAGGGAAAGGCGAAAAGAACCCCGGCGAGGGGAGUGAAAAAGAACCUGAAACCGUGUACGUACAAGCAGUGGGAGCACCCUUCGGGGUGUGACUG
RNAcentral lists this ribosomal RNA (568 nucleotides) under Salmonella enterica subsp. enterica serovar Typhimurium. RNAcentral describes it as "partial 23S ribosomal RNA". It matches the Rfam family "Bacterial large subunit ribosomal RNA", at positions 1 to 599 of the family's 2925-position model. The record is from RNAcentral. Lineage: Bacteria; Pseudomonadati; Pseudomonadota; Gammaproteobacteria; Enterobacterales; Enterobacteriaceae.